Molecule: long non-coding RNA, 536 nt
Organism: Aegilops tauschii subsp. strangulata
Lineage: Eukaryota; Viridiplantae; Streptophyta; Magnoliopsida; Poales; Poaceae
Source: RefSeq, a predicted model, not a curated record
UCUACGCCGCCGUCUUCUCUAGUUCGCUCGCCUGACUAGCCCUAUGAGAGCGGCUGCGCAAGUGUCUCUCGUUGACAGUGCGUGCAUCAGUAACCUCGCAAAGUCAUUCCUCGCGAACCGCAUCGCAGCGCCGGCCGGAGCUGCGGCCAUCUGGCCGUUCGCCUUUGCUGUGUGCUAGGUCGUCCCCGCUAAAUCUGCAAUCUCCUCCGACGCCUGCGUUGUUGAGCGGAGUCUCCACAUCUAGCAGCAGCGCCGGUGACUCUUAUCCAUCCAUCAAUGAAAGGAGCGUAUCAAUUUACUAUGCAUUAUUUUCCCUUACCCUGCAUUUGUACGAACAGAAAGAAGUACCUUGCUGACAAAUGAAAUAGUUCAGAGAUAACAAUUUGGAACAGAUAAGGCGGCUAUGUCUGCAACACAUUAUAUAUUUAGUGAGGGCCUAGCUUGGACAAGAGGGAUGAACAUUGGAGCAAGAUUAUGCGUGGAGAUGAUGGCAUGUGCAAGGGGAACAAGAACAGAGUUACAAGUGAUGAUUUCAG